Molecule: long non-coding RNA, 2774 nt
Organism: Sparus aurata (gilthead seabream)
Lineage: Eukaryota; Metazoa; Chordata; Actinopteri; Spariformes; Sparidae
Source: Ensembl
GAUGUUUAUCAGAUGUCGCCGCAUCAGGUCAUGACAUCAGCUUUUCUUCUUUACUUCCUCGAUUUAACGUCCUGCCUCUUCUUCUCUUUAUAAAAACCUGCUGAAUUACUGUCCUCAGUGACGCCUCCACCUCUCCGGACUGAGACACCACAGACCGUCCUCCACCUGAGCAAGUAAACUUCCACCACCAGCUGUUUGACAAUCAGACUGUUGGAAACAGCAGUGAAGGUAAAAACUUUUAAAUCAGUGUUUUAUCAGCCUGUUAGAUUACCCUUCUGAUCAACUGUGAGGUCAACGAGGGUUAAGAACUGCAGAAGAUGAGCCAACUGAUGAACUGUUCUCUGUUCUGUGUUCCAGUAUUCAUACUUCCAUGAGUACACUUAAACAUAGUACACUAUCCACACUUUUCAGUACGCAGAUUUCUGCAGGUGAGUGUUGUUCCAAAUCUAAUACUCCGUGGUGCACUUACCGGAAAUUACGAUUGCGACAGCCGCUGCAGCUCGUCACCCGCCAAAAACAUCCUGCUUUGAAAGUUGAACAAAAGAAAUCUACGACUUCACUUUUUAACAAUUACAAUCCUACAAUCCUGCAAUAUGGCUCUGCUGCAGGCGCUGUCGUCUCAGUAGCCAUUUCAAAAAAUGUUUUUCUUUUCGCCGCGAUCGAUAUCGGAACACCCUAAGUACUCAAACUAAGUAUAGUAGGUACGGGAAGUAUGGAUAUCGGAACAAGGCACUGGACAAGAGUAAUGAACUCUGAGGGCCGGAGUGGGCGCCGCCAUCACUGUAGACUGUUGCUGCUCUUAAUAUGCUGACGAUCCUAUGUUCUAAUGUUCUGAUGUUCUGGUGUUUUGAUGUUCUGGUGUUCACCCUGCCUGCUGUGCAGAUGAAUCCUCUUCCCUGGAUGACGCUGGUGUUCCUGCUGUCGGCUCGCUCCAGUUUGGCCGUUGUGGACCAGAACUGGCUGACUGGUAUCGUCAGUGGAAUCAGGGCUGAGUACAAAAUAGAAAAUGAACAGUUCUGUCUGGCUGCAAAUAUCCCAAGGGACCUCGACCCAAAAGACCUUCAUCAAGUCCUCCAGAACGACCGCUACGAAAGAGAUGUUAAAGACAUUAUUGAUGGCUGUGUAGUAUACGAAGGCAACAAUGUGGUUGUAGCCAAACCUGUAGAAUCGGUACAUGCAGAACCUCAAGUUCUGCAAAACAUGAAACAAUUAACGAGCAACAAGCAGAAUAACAUCCUGCUCAUCUACUCCUACCUCUCCCCAUGUGGAGAAAAGUGUACGAAACUGUACCAUCAGUACAACAUCAUCAAAUACAUGACAACGAUAAUAAAACAACAACAGAAAAAAAAUGUUCCACACUGGAGUGAUGUUGUCUUUGUGUUCACAAGAGUCUUUGAUUCACCAAAGUAUGGCAAUCUGCCGACCAAAGAGGAGCUGAAAGAAUCACUGGAACGGCUCGGGAAUUCUGGACUUGGUCUUCAAAACAUUUUCCGCUGCUACAAACCGGAAAAUUUAGAAUUUCAGUGCCACAGCUGCUCGUCAAACACGAAGGUUUCAGAUGUUUGUGUCGAUAACAACUUUGUACCUGGACAGGGAGGAAGAAGCAGCCCAGUCAGGGACAGGAGUAGGAGCAGCAGCAGCGGCAGGAGCAGCAGCAACAGGGGCAGCAGCAGGAGCAGCAGCAGCAGCAGCAGCAACAACAGGAGCAGCAGCAGGAGCAGCAGCAGGGGCAGCAGCAACAACAGGAGCAGCAGCAGCGGCAGGAGCAGCAGCAACAGGGGCAGCAGCAGGAGCAGCAGCAGCAGCAGCAUCAUUAGCAGAAAGAGAGUCAAAUACAGUCCAAGUGCGCAGAAGUCCAACUUCAUGGGGUAGAUGAGUUCUGGUUCCUGAUAUGAUUCAGUUGGUUCAUCAGAAUAUGACCCAACUGACUGAACUUGAGAGGUUCUUGAUUCUUAAUGAUGCAGGUUUUCCCUGAAUGACUGAUAUCAGCAUUUCUCUAUGAAUAUAAAGCUUCUGGAUGUUUCUGUUGUCCAACCACCUAUCUGGGUGAUCUGACCUGUUUUUUUCUUCCCGUUGAUUAGAAACAUGUAAACGAUCAUUACAUCAUCACACCUGAUAGAAACAUAUUGAUCUACUGUUCAACCUAAAGUUUGCUGUCAGGACUCAGACCUGUAUGUAACUCUGUGGACGACUUCAUUGAUAAAGUUUUGCUUUUAAAGUUAAGUUUUCAGAGAGCAGGUACUCGGUGCUGAUGUACUGAUGGUCCAUUACAACAUGGUUGUGUUCCAGUGUGAUAAUCUGAUUACAGCUUUUUAAAGUCAACCCUGAUUUAAAAGCUUUGACAUCCUGCUACACAAAGAAUGUUACAUACAUUUUAAAAUGCCCUGUAAGAAACUCUUUGAUAGAAAUGAAAACUGUCAUCCUGUGACCUGACUGAUGGAUUACAUGUGAAAUAAUGAUCAUAUAUUGAUGAAACCUGCCUGAUCUCUGCGGACUCCUCAGUGUUGACGACACAAUCAUUUUAUUGAGCAUGUAAAGACUGAAAGCUUCACUGUUCUGCAUGUUAACUCUAAAUAAAGCUUUAGCAUCAAACCCCGUCUCUGUGUGACGUUGAGCUCAACCAACAAAGACCAACUAUCAAUUAUCACUCAGUUAUCAAUACAUUAUUUUAUGGCAGCUGAUUGGACAAAGAAUGAUGGUUUAGAAUGUAUAUUAUAUGAGAAACUUAACAGGAUUCAGUUUUUUCUUUUAAAAUAAAGUCAACUUGCUUGCAG